RNAcentral lists this ribosomal RNA (216 nucleotides) under Glomeromycotina sp. RNAcentral's name for it is "partial small subunit ribosomal RNA". The stretch from base 75 to 216 matches the Rfam family "Eukaryotic small subunit ribosomal RNA", at positions 721 to 864 of the family's 1831-position model. The record is from RNAcentral. Lineage: Eukaryota; Fungi; Glomeromycota.
GGGUCAGUAGGUUGGUCGUGCCACCGGUACGUACUGGUCUCACUGAUUCCUCCUUCCUGAAGAACCGUAACGCCAUUAAUUUGGUGUUGCGGGGAAACAGGACUGUUACUUUGAAAAAAUUAGAGUGUUUAAAGCAAGCUAACGCUUGAAUACAUUAGCAUGGAAUAAUGAAAUAGGACGAUCGAUCCUAUUUUGUUGGUUUCCAGGAUUGACGUA